AGUAAGUGCGACCGAAACGGGAAGAGCCCAGCGCAAAGCCUCGCGUCCCCUUCGCGGGGGGCACGAGGGGUGCUGCGUUCGGGAGAGGUCCUGCACGCGCUCCCGAGCCGCCUAAGUUGUUCAUGAAUGACUCUCAUACCCAGGGAGGGUGUCAGGCCCGUGUGGCGGAAAGGGACUUCCUCCUCCUCGUUCGCGGGGAGGGGGGUUUCGGGAGUGCGGAACGGGCCUCUCCUUAGAGUCGGGUUGCCUGAAACCGCAACCUAAAGCAGGUGGUAAACUCCAUCUAAGGCUAAAUAUGACCACGAGACCGAUAGCGAACAAGUACCGUGAGGGAAAGUUGAAACAGAACCCUGUAGAGAGAGUUCAAGAGAACGUGAAACCGUUAAGAGGCUAAACGGGCGGAGAUUCGAAGAUCGAACUGGGGGGAUUCAGUUCGUCGGCCUGCCGGGAGACGGCAGCGGGCGUGACGACUUCCCGUUCCGGAGGCCUUCUGGGCCGAAGGAGCCAACACGGGGAGCGGCCCCCGCCGCCUGCCCGGCGCCGGCGGGCGAUCUUCCCCCCGCAGUAGGUCGCCGCGACGCGUUGGGGAACGGGCGUCUGAGGCCCGGGUCCUGGUAGGAACCGGCGGCGCGUUCGUCCUCCGCUCACUCGUUGGGCGGGGGGCGUUUUCCAGCGCGCCCGUCCGGGGAUCCCCCGGUGCCCUCGUCUUGCCCCCCCGACGGUCACUCCUCCGGGGCCGGCCGGGAACGGGGGACUGGUCCGAGGCCGCGGUCGAGCCUAAUUCGCUGGCUCCCGCGCUUCCCUGUCCCUCUCCCGCGUGGCCUUCGCGGCGUGCAAAGAGUCGGUACUCCUCCCGACCCGUCUUGAAACACGGACCAAGGAGUCCAACAUGUAUGCGAGUCAAUGGGCGCGCUAAACCCACGGGCGCAAUGAAAGUGAUCGGGCCGAUCCCACGGAGCAGCGGGCGGCCGCGCGCACCCGGACGGAGUGACUGACUUUCCUCCCCGGGACGGCGCGGGUUCCCUCCCGCUCCCGCAGGCCCCGCGCGCCGCCCUUCGCGGGGCGGCGGCGGGGGGGGCGCAGGUCCGGGACUCGCCAUGACGAACGGUCGUCGCCCGUCUCGGCGGGGGGCGGCCGGAUGUGUCGGCGGGUACCCAGAGCAUAAAUGUUGGGACCCGAAAGAUAGUGAACUAUGCUUGGCCAGGAUGAAGCCAGGGGAAACCCUGGUGGAGGUCCGAAGCGUUUCUGACGUGCAAAUCGAUCGCCAGAGCUGAGUAUAGGGGCGAAAGACCAAUCGAACUAUCUAGUAGCUGGUUCCCUCCGAAGUUUCCCUCAGGAUAGCUGGCGCUCGCUUCGAACGAGUUCCAUCCGGUAAAGCGAAUGACUAGGGGUGUUGGGGACGAAAUGUCCUCAGCCCAUUCUCAAACUUUAAAUGGGUGAGGUGCCGGGCUUG
This 1453-nucleotide ribosomal RNA is filed under the name Penaeus semisulcatus. Its description in RNAcentral is "eukaryotic LSU rRNA". It matches the Rfam family "Eukaryotic large subunit ribosomal RNA", at positions 82 to 1089 of the family's 3401-position model. Lineage: Eukaryota; Metazoa; Arthropoda; Malacostraca; Decapoda; Penaeidae. The record is from RNAcentral.